GACGAACGCUGGCGGCGUGCUUAACACAUGCAAGUCGAACGAUGACGACCGAGCUUGCUCGGUCUGAUUAGUGGCGAACGGGUGAGUAACACGUGAGCAACCUGCCCUUCACUCUGGGAUAACCUCGGGAAAUCGGGGCUAAUACCGGAUAUGAGCUCCUGUCGCGUGGCGGGUGUUGGAAAGCUUUUCGGCGACGGAUGGGCUCGCGGCCUAUCAGUUUGUUGGUGAGGUAGUGGCUCACCAAGGCGAUGACGGGUAGCCGGCCUGAGAGGGCGACCGGCCACGCUGGGACUGAGACACGGCCCAGACUCCUACGGGAGGCAGCAGUGGGGAAUAUUGCACAAUGGGCGAAAGCCUGAUGCAGCGACGCCGCGUGAGGGAUGACGGCCUUCGGGUUGUAAACCUCUUUCAGCAGGGAAGAAGCGAAAGUGACGGUACCUGCAGAAGAAGCGCCGGCUAACUACGUG
Molecule: ribosomal RNA, 467 nt
Filed under: uncultured bacterium
Lineage: Bacteria
Description: partial 16S ribosomal RNA
Rfam family: Bacterial small subunit ribosomal RNA
Source: RNAcentral